GCUUACUCCAUGGUUGACCAACUGUGAUAGCUCAGCAAAUGAAGCAAGCACAAAAAUUAAUGCAAGCUACAAUAUCCCCGAAUCUUGAGAAUUUACAUCGCACUUUUGUAAAAGAAAAAUUCAUCACAAUUUCAUUGGAUUCCGUCAAGAUGUUCAGUAGAUUUUCCAUUUGUUCACACUGAAUUUCUUAGCUCGCUCUCCUCUCCUGCAAGUUUCCUCUUCAUUUUAAGAAUUUUGAUUUUCCAA
This 246-nucleotide unclassified non-coding RNA is filed under the name Hevea brasiliensis (rubber tree). Lineage: Eukaryota; Viridiplantae; Streptophyta; Magnoliopsida; Malpighiales; Euphorbiaceae. The record is from RNAcentral.